UACAGAGGGUGCAAGCGUUGUUCGGAAUUACUGGGCGUAAAGGGCGCGUAGGCGGUCAGCACAAGUCAGUUGUGAAAUCUCCGGGCUUAACUCGGAAAGGUCAACUGAUACUGUGCGACUAGAGUGCGGAAGGGGCAACUGGAAUUCUCGGUGUAGCGGUGAAAUGCGUAGAUAUCGAGAGGAACACCUGCGGCGAAGGCGGGUUGCUGGGCCGACACUGACGCUGAUGCGCGAAAGCCAGGGGAGCGAACGGG
Molecule: ribosomal RNA, 254 nt
Filed under: uncultured bacterium
Lineage: Bacteria
Description: partial 16S ribosomal RNA
Rfam family: Bacterial small subunit ribosomal RNA
Source: RNAcentral